ACAAUGGGCGCAAGCCUGAUGGAGCAACACCGCGUGAGUGAAGAAGGGUUUCGGCUCGUAAAGCUCUGUUGUUAAAGAAGAACACGUAUGAGAGUAACUGUUCAUACGUUGACGGUAUUUACCAGAAAGUCACGGCUAACUACGUGCCAGCAGCCGCGGUAAUACGUAGGUGGCAAGCGUUAUCCGGAUUUAUUGGGCGUAAAGAGAGUGCAGGGCGGUUUUCUAAGUCUGAUGUGAAAGCCUUCGGCUUAACCGGAGAAGUGCAUCGGAACUGGAUAACUUGAGUGCAGAAGAGGGUAGUGGAACUCCAUGUGUAGCGGUGGAAUGCGUAGAUAUAUGGAAGGAACACCAGUGGCGAAGGCGGCUACCUGGUCUGCAACUGACGCUGAGACUCGAAAGCAUGGGUAGCCGAACAGGAUUAGAUACCCUGGUAG
RNAcentral lists this ribosomal RNA (434 nucleotides) under uncultured bacterium. Its description in RNAcentral is "bacterial SSU rRNA". It matches the Rfam family "Bacterial small subunit ribosomal RNA", at positions 368 to 793 of the family's 1533-position model. The record is from RNAcentral.